This 341-nucleotide unclassified non-coding RNA is filed under the name soil metagenome. RNAcentral describes it as "partial contains 5.8S ribosomal RNA, internal transcribed spacer 2, and large subunit ribosomal RNA". The stretch from base 1 to 120 matches the Rfam family "5.8S ribosomal RNA", at positions 35 to 154 of the family's 154-position model. The record is from RNAcentral.
GAUGAAGAACGUAGCGAAAUGCGAUAAGUAGUGUGAAUUGCAGAAUUCAGUGAAUCAUCGAAUCUUGGAACGCACAUUGCGCCCUUUGGUAUUCCAAAGGGCAUGCCUGUUCGAGCGUCAUUUGUACCCUCAAGCUUUGCUUGGUGUUGGGCGUCUUGUCUCUAGCUUUGCUGGAGACUCGCCUUAAAGUAAUUGGCAGCCGGCCUACUGGUUUCGGAGCGCAGCACAAGUCGCACUCUCUAUCAGCAAAGGUCUAGCAUCCAUUAAGCCUUUUUUUCAACUUUUGACCUCGGAUCAGGUAGGGAUACCCGCUGAACUUAAGCAUAUCAAUAAGCGGAGGA